This 536-nucleotide ribosomal RNA is filed under the name uncultured bacterium. RNAcentral describes it as "bacterial SSU rRNA". It matches the Rfam family "Bacterial small subunit ribosomal RNA", at positions 1 to 523 of the family's 1533-position model. The record is from RNAcentral.
UAGAGUUUGAUCCUGGCUCAGAACGAACGUUAGCGGCGCGCCUAACACAUGCAAGUCGAACGAGAAAGGGCUUCGGCCCCGGUAAAGUGGCGCACGGGUGAGUAACACGUGGGUAAUCUGCCCUCGAGCAGGGGAUAACAUUCCGAAAGGAGUGCUAAUACCGCAUAAGACCACGACUUCGAAAGAAGACGGGGUAAAAGCUGGCCUCUAUACAUAAGCUAGCACUUGAGGAUGAGCCCGCGGCGCAUCAGCUAGUUGGUGAGGUAAUGGCUCACCAAGGCGAAGACGCGUAGCUGGUCUGAGAGGAUGAUCAGCCACACUGGAACUGAGACACGGUCCAGACUCCUACGGGAGGCAGCAGUGGGGAAUCUUGCGCAAUGGGCGAAAGCCUGACGCAGCGACGCCGCGUGAGUGAUGAAGGCCUUCGGGUUGUAAAGCUCUGUGGGGAGAGACGAAUAAGUGCAGCCUAAUACGUUGCAUGAUGACGGUAUCUCCUUAGCAAGCACCGGCUAACUCUGUGCCAGCAGCCCCGGUCA